This 349-nucleotide long non-coding RNA is filed under the name Malus domestica (apple). RNAcentral describes it as "long non-coding RNA (MDOM_LNC006775)". The record is from RNAcentral. Lineage: Eukaryota; Viridiplantae; Streptophyta; Magnoliopsida; Rosales; Rosaceae.
UAUAGAUCAACAUAAAAACAGGUUAAAUUGGUGCCACAAUUAAAGUAGAGUUCUUCAAAAUUUUCCAUUACAAUCGGUACCGAAACUACACAGACAAAGCUGAAUUACAAGAAACUGGGGCCAAAAUCUUUUAAUAUCACCAUAACAACACGAAUGGUGAACAAGCAACGAUCAAUUUGGAGAAAUUACCUGAGAUUUGGAGUUGGGUUCGGAUUGGAAUCGUUUGGGAGUGGCUGUGCUAAGAAGAUGUAAGGGUUCGGAUUGGAAUCCUCAGAGAUUGACCGGAAGAGAGUUGGCGCCACAGGAAAGAUGAGAGAGGGAAUGCUCAGAAUAACGAUCCAGUCUUUUU